This 1056-nucleotide unclassified non-coding RNA is filed under the name Hevea brasiliensis (rubber tree). The record is from RNAcentral. Lineage: Eukaryota; Viridiplantae; Streptophyta; Magnoliopsida; Malpighiales; Euphorbiaceae.
CUAAGAUACGUGGGAAACUCCGAAUCCCAUAUGGAUUAUGAAACCCACGAUGUAAUCUCCACCGACAAGAAAAGAGCCCUAACUACAUCUAUAUAUAUAACCCAAAAACAAGAAAAUUCCUCAUACAUUACUCAGUGGUUUCAGUCAGCCUUCAUGAUGAGUGCUAGAAGAAUUGAAGUCAACCUAAAUUCUUCUAUAAGCAAGUUCCUCAAUCCCACGCAGCCUCCCAUUUUGUUUCUCGAGCUUAUCCAACUGCUCGAGAUGGAAGCUUAUCCAACUGCUCCAACCUCCUCUUUUCCCUUCCAGAUUUAUCAUCUUCACCUACUUGAUCUGCCACUCUGCCGAUGCCAUCUUGAAGACCUGUUUUCUUCCUUCGUUUUUGACAACUAAUUACGCCAAUUCUUUACUUAUCGCAUUGCAAACUUCCUCAUCUUUUUGGCCAAUAGGUACCCUUUCUUGGGGUUUCCCGUGGUGGCCGACGUAAAUAUUAUCCAUGAGGACUUGCUUCAUGCAAAUCCCAUUGAUUUGACGAUGAUAAUGGACGAAGUGAGCCAAGAAGUGAUUCCCAGAAGUGCAUCAAGUUCCGUGCUGAACCAGUUGAGGAAGUGGAGGUUUUUCGCUGCGAAGGAGGGCGGUGACUGUGCGAUUUGUUUAGAAGAAUUAUCUGGAGCCAGAUUCCCACUCACGAAGAUGCCGUGCUCUCACUUGUCGACGGGAACUUGAGGAUUGAAUGCUGAUGAUCGUACUGUUUUCAGAGGUGACUUUUUGUUUUCUGCCACAGUUUUCAAUUCUAGUCUUGAAAUUAGAUUAUAUUCAUCAAAUCAGUUACCUAGCAAUGUGCAGUUUGAAGGGGGCUAUAGGAUUCAAUAUUCUAUUCUGUUAAAAGUCUGCAUUUUUUUAAUAAUGAAGUUUCUUUUCUUUAUCCUUAAUUGUAUUGAAUGAUAAUUGUAUUGAAUGAUGGUGUGAGUGACUUAGCCAAUCUGUUUGCUCAUUUCGACCAGAAUUUAUGAGAUUGUUUAAUGUUUAUGCUAAUUAAUGAAGAUUGAGCAUGUAUAA